GUGUCUAUCGUACCUUGUUGCUUCGGCGGGCCCGCCGUUUCGACGGCCGCCGGGGAGGCCUUGCGCCCCCGGGCCCGCGCCCGCCGAAGACCCCAACAUGAACGCUGUUCUGAAAGUAUGCAGUCUGAGUUGAUUAUCGUAAUCAGUUAAAACUUUCAACAACGGAUCUCUUGGUUCCGGCAUCGAUGAAGAACGCAGCGAAAUGCGAUAAGUAAUGUGAAUUGCAGAAUUCAGUGAAUCAUCGAGUCUUUGAACGCACAUUGCGCCCCCUGGUAUUCCGGGGGGCAUGCCUGUCCGAGCGUCAUUGCUGCCCUCAAGCACGGCUUGUGUGUUGGGCCCCCGUCCCCCUCUCCCGGGGGACGGGCCCGAAAGGCAGCGGCGGCACCGCGUCCGGUCCUCGAGCGUAUGGGGCUUUGUCACCUGCUCUGUAGGCCCGGCCGGCGCCAGCCGACACCCAACUUUAUUUUUCUAAGGUUGACCUCGGAUCAGGUAGGGAUACCCGCUGAACUUAAGCAUAUCAAUA
RNAcentral lists this ribosomal RNA (523 nucleotides) under fungal sp. E16116B. RNAcentral describes it as "eukaryotic LSU rRNA". The stretch from base 151 to 304 matches the Rfam family "5.8S ribosomal RNA". Lineage: Eukaryota; Fungi. The record is from RNAcentral.